RNAcentral lists this ribosomal RNA (428 nucleotides) under Idas sp. SAL3. RNAcentral's name for it is "partial 16S ribosomal RNA". It matches the Rfam family "Bacterial large subunit ribosomal RNA", at positions 1923 to 2600 of the family's 2925-position model. Lineage: Eukaryota; Metazoa; Mollusca; Bivalvia; Mytilida; Modiolidae. The record is from RNAcentral.
GUAAAUGGCUGCAUAAACCUGAGUGUACUAAGGUAGCGCUAUAAUUUGCCCUUUAAAUGGGGGCUGGUAUGAAUGGGUUAACGUGAGAGUUGCUGUGUCACAAAAAUUGUUUGAAAUUAACUUUUAGGUGAAGAGGCCUAGCUAACCAUAUAGGACGACAAGACCCUAGAAGCUUUACUGUGGGGGGCCUAGUUAUAGGUCGCUUCGGUUUUGUUGGGGCAACAAGGUUAAUAUGUAUAACUUGUUUAUAUUUACUUACAGGUAAAAUCCACAUUAGUGAAUAAGAUAAGCUACUCUAGGGAUAACAGCGUUAUUUUUUUUAAUAGUACGUAUUGUAAAAAAAGUUUGCGACCUCGAUGUUGGAUUAAGGUGUCCUUAAGGCGUAGAAGUUUUAGAGGGUUGGCCUGUUCGUCCAUUAAAACCUUACA